CCUACGGGAGGCAGCAGUAGGGAAUAUUGGACAAUGGACGCAAGUCUGAUCCAGCCAUCCCGCGUGAAGGAUUAAGGCCCUAUGGGUUGUAAACUUCUUUUCUUUGGGAAUAAAAAGCGGUAUUCAUAUCGCCUUGAAGGUACCAGAGGAAUAAGCACCGGCUAACUCCGUGCCAGCAGCCGCGGUAAUACGGAGGGUGCAAGCGUUAUCCGGAUUCACUGGGUUUAAAGGGUGCGUAGGUGGCUUUGUAAGUCAGCGGUGAAAGCCUGGAGCUCAACUCCAGAAUUGCCAUUGAUACUGCAGAGCUUGAAUCAAGUUGAGGUGGAUGGAAUAUUACAUGUAGCGGUGAAAUGCUUAGAUAUGUAAUAGAACACCGAUUGCGAAGGCAGUUCACUAAGCUUGUAUUGACACUGAGGCACGAAAGCGUGGGGAUCAAACAGGAUUAGAUACCCUGGUAGUCCACGCCCUAAACGAUGCAAACUCGACAUUAGCGAUAUACAGUUAGUGUCCAAGCGAAAGCGUUAAAGUUUGCCGACCGNGGUAAGGUACGACCGCGAGUAGUUAACGUUACAANAGAGUUAGAGGCGNGAGAGNGCGAGGACGACGACGAGGGAGGAGG
RNAcentral lists this ribosomal RNA (619 nucleotides) under uncultured bacterium. RNAcentral's name for it is "bacterial SSU rRNA". The stretch from base 1 to 537 matches the Rfam family "Bacterial small subunit ribosomal RNA", at positions 338 to 873 of the family's 1533-position model. The record is from RNAcentral.